RNAcentral lists this ribosomal RNA (256 nucleotides) under uncultured bacterium. RNAcentral describes it as "partial 16S ribosomal RNA". It matches the Rfam family "Bacterial small subunit ribosomal RNA", at positions 524 to 779 of the family's 1533-position model. The record is from RNAcentral.
GACGGAGGGGGCUAGCGUUGUUCGGAAUGACUGGGCGUAAAGGGCGCGUAGGUGGUUUUUCAAGUCAGGCGUGAAAGCCCCGGGCUUAACCUGGGAACUGCGCUUGAUACUGGAUGACUAGAGGACGAGAGAGGAAAGUGGAAUUCCGAGUGUAGAGGUGAAAUUCGUAGAUAUUCGGAGGAACAUCAGAGGCGAAGGCGGCUUUCUGGCUCGUAUCUGACGCUGAGGCGCGAAAGCGUGGGGAGCAAACAGGAUU